This 515-nucleotide ribosomal RNA is filed under the name uncultured Actinomyces sp. RNAcentral describes it as "partial 16S ribosomal RNA". The record is from RNAcentral. Lineage: Bacteria; Bacillati; Actinomycetota; Actinomycetes; Actinomycetales; Actinomycetaceae.
CACGUAGUUAGCCGGCGCCUCUUUACCCACUACCCUCACCACAACCAUUGUUGCGGCUUGACCAUGAGCGAAAGAGGUUCACAACCCGAAGGCCUCCAUCCCUCACGCGGCGUCGCUGCAUCAGGCUUGCGCCCAUUGUGCAAUAUUCCCCACUGCUGCCUCCCGUAGGAGUCUGGGCCGUAUCUCAGUCCCAAUGUGACCGGUCACCCUCUCAGGCCCGGCUACCCGUCAAAGCCUUGGUAGGCCAUCACCCCACCAACAAGCUGAUAGGCCGCGAGCCCAUCCCCCACCAGAAAAACCCUUUCCACCAACCCCCAUGCGAAGACCAGUGAAUAUCCAGUAUUAGCACCCGUUUCCGGGCGUUAUCCCAAAGAAGGGGCAGGUUACUCACGUGUUACUCACCCGUUCGCCACUCACUCCAACCCAACAAAAGCUAGAGCUUCAGCGUUCGACUUGCAUGUGUUAAGCACGCCGCCAGCGUCGUCUUGAGUCGACGGAGUCAACCGUACUACUCG